This 497-nucleotide ribosomal RNA is filed under the name uncultured bacterium. RNAcentral describes it as "partial 16S ribosomal RNA". It matches the Rfam family "Bacterial small subunit ribosomal RNA", at positions 28 to 507 of the family's 1533-position model. The record is from RNAcentral.
GAUGAACGCUGGCGGCGUGCCUAAUACAUGCAAGUCGAGCGAACAGACGAGGAGCUUGCUCCUCUGACGUUAGCGGCGGACGGGUGAGUAACACGUGGAUAACCUACCUAUAAGACUGGGAUAACUUCGGGAAACCGGAGCUAAUACCGGAUAAUAUAUUGAACCGCAUGGUUCAAUAGUGAAAGACGGUUUUGCUGUCACUUAUAGAUGGAUCCGCGCCGCAUUAGCUAGUUGGUAAGGUAACGGCUUACGAAGGCAACGAUGCGUAGCCGACCUGAGAGGGUGAUCGCCCACCCUGGAACUUAGCCGCGGUCCAGACUCCUGCGGGAGGCAGCAGUAGGGAAUCUUCCGCAAUGGGCGAAAGCCUGACGGAGCAACGCCGCGUGAGUUAUGACGGUCUUCGGAUCGUAAAACUCUGUUAUUAGGGAAGAACAAAUGUGUAAGUAACUAUGCACGUCUUGACGGUACCUAAUCAGAAAGCCCCGGCUAACUACGUG